This 759-nucleotide small RNA is filed under the name Oryza sativa Japonica Group (Japanese rice). RNAcentral describes it as "sRNA Os03g0323950". Lineage: Eukaryota; Viridiplantae; Streptophyta; Magnoliopsida; Poales; Poaceae. The record is from RNAcentral.
GAUCGACGGCGUGCACGCAAGGCCCCCUUGCCCCCGUACCACGCUGUUCCCCGCGAGGCCGUGUGUGUAUUGUACACGCAUCGCUGGCUGCCGAUGGCAUGGCACACGCGCACCGCAGCAACCGAUCGCUGGCGAUCCACACAGCGAGCAGAGUAGCAGCAGCGGCCACAGCUCGCAGGCUCACAUGCCGCCCGUGCCCGCGCGCGCGCGAUGCACCAACCACCUAGCCUGCUAGCCGAGGCGGCGUUAACCAUGUCACGCGUCUUGCUGCCCCGGUCGGUUGCUCCCCCGCGCCGAAGCUGCUCGGCUCGGCUCCGCUAGCUCGCUCGGGCGUCGCCAUCACGCGCCACCCACCGGACGAGGGUGGCAUCGGGCAUGGCGGACGCUGCUCGCGGCGAUGACGCGAUCUAAGCCGUGGGCAAUGUCACGGAAGAAUUCUGAGAGGAAUUGAAUCGACGAACGGUGUACAUGCAUGUACAGGUCAGAUGUGUGCUGCUUGCCGGUGUGACGGGGUAGUUUUACAGGAGCAGCAGCGAAGCGGGGAACACCAGGAGCAGCAGAAGAAGAAUCAGGUGGCGUCUUGUGGGUCGGUGCGUCGCCGGACCGCCGCCGCCGCUGCUGCCGGUGGCCGCCGUUGACGGUGCGUUGGCCGGCAUGCCGCCGGACAACCCUGCCGGAUGUUUGAGACAUUGUCAGUACAGUCAAAUCUCGCCGUGUGAAACAAGUAUACAUGAGAAAUUUGAUCAGACAUUUUCUUGC